UGCCCUUUAUAUUCUGCCCCAGGAAAGCUGGAAGCUCCAAGUGAGGCCCAUUGUGGGCCAAGGGAUCCUCUGCCUGGCAUCCCUGAGCUCUCUUCCCCAUCAGGCUCUGAUGUCUUGCUGUCUGCUCCUCAAAAGCCAGGAAAGAGUAAAUUUAGAUUCUCUCAGGGGUGGACUCAGAGUGAGAAGAUGCAGAAUACUUCAGAAGAGGGAAGGAAAAAGGCUUUUCCAGAUCACAUAAAAUCUGACUUUUUAGUUAAACACAAGUUCCUUGUGACUAUUAUUGCCUAAUAUUUCAGCUGAUUGGGCAGUUGCCUAUAAAGAGAAGUGUCACCAAAGGAUGCUCAGUCUCCAGAACAGUUCAUUUAGCAAAAAGCUGGUGUCUUACAAAAGCAUGAACAGAAACACAGCAGCAUUUAACUGAACCUAAGAGAGGAAAUAAAGCAGAGGAAAUAAAGAGAGGAAAUAAAGAGGGGAGAUAAAGAGAUCACAGAUGCUAAGCUUCCAAGCACUGCUCCAUGCACUGUGAGAAGGAAAUCUGAUGUGUAUUACACGACUUGAAGAACAGGACAAUAGGCAAGAACUCCUCAGCUAACACUGAGCCAGCCCCAAAGAUUCUCUUCAGGAUGCAACCCAAGAGGUAAAGGGCAUCAAUCUGCAUGUACUUGAGACACAAAGGACAAGAACCCCCUCUGCUCUUGCUAUGGCUUCUUCUGUCACUGCUGUUUGUUGGCUGGGCCACUGAGAUAGAACAAGCAGCAGGGAGCUAACAGAUCCAUCCACAUUCACUAAAGAGGAGUCAGGAGUCUUCCAGUGCAGGGGUCCUGUUUGAUUCACACCAAAGGAUGAGGUGCACCUGCAAGGAACAAAUCAACUAUUCCUCUCUUCUCUACUACUGCAUGUCACCAGGUGUCCCUGCCCACUGCAGGGGGGGAUUGGAGCUGGAUGAUCUUGAAGAUCUCUUCCAACCCAAACCAUUCUAUGCUAUUUUUUGAGGUCAUUUGAGACAUGAGCCUGGCUUCUCAGGAGCAAUCUUGUCCCCCCUUCUUUAGCUGUGUAACAACAUCAGACAGCUCAGCAACGUGGCCAAUGUAUUUCAGAUGUUGCCUGAACUGGUUUCUUGCCAGUGAAGUUAAAUCACCUGACUCAUGAAGGAGGGCAGUAUAUAAUGAUGCUAUUUUGCUUUACAGCUAGAGCAGACAGGCAGGGAUGAUAGGAUGCCUCCAGGAACCCUGACAUGAUUGAUAUGUGCCUGAAUUCCCAGGUGUAAUAGUGCAAAAUAAAGCUAGGAGGAAGCAAGCUGUGCUCAGGGUGUAACGUGGCCACAGCAGCACAGCUGGCUGCAUCCCUGCUUCGUGAAGGCAAGAAAGAUUGGCAGGGACACUGCUACCCAGCUAAGAAAAAUCAACUCUGCAAAUGCUGCCAUUAAAUAAAAGAGAGGGGAGGUGUGGGAGUGGGGGAGGAAACAACACACAACUAAACAGCCUGUCAAAGCACUAUCAAGAGAAGAGAAAUACUGAGGCAAUGUCAGUCUGGUUGCCACCAGGCAUGGCUUGAUGUUUGUGGAGAGUGACAUUGUGCAAUGCUCCUGAGAAAUCUCCCUUUGGCACGGGGGAAGAGCUUUCACAUUUACCCUAGAAGCACUUACUGAGCUAUUUGCACUCGCUGCCACAAGAGUUUCUGUCAAGAGGACAGCUGGGAGCUCUGGCAGGAAAAUGUUUCUUAGGGUGCCAUUCACUAAGAAAUACAUGGUACAAGCAAUCCAACUUGUCUGGGUUGUUUCAAGCACAGUGCAAACACUGCUCAGCUUCAAAACGCAGAGGUGCUCUGGCUGGAAAAUAGAAUUUUUAUGGGACCCAAGAGGAGCCCAAACCACUGAAUGCCAGGAGAAACGUGCUCCUUUUGUCCUGCACAGCAAGGGUGAGUUACUGCUUCAAGAAUCUUUCUCCUUUCUGCAGGUGGAAAUUGUAGCAGAACUAGAGAUAGAAAUAUUUGGGUGAAAAAUGAGGAGGAGAGAGGAGCCUAAGCUGCUGGCUUGCUGGUUGGGAAAAAGACACAACAAACCAAAAACCCUUUCAAAUGCAAAUCUUGGAA
Molecule: long non-coding RNA, 2091 nt
Organism: Pogoniulus pusillus (Red-fronted tinkerbird)
Lineage: Eukaryota; Metazoa; Chordata; Aves; Piciformes; Lybiidae
Exons: 2
Source: RefSeq, a predicted model, not a curated record